Molecule: ribosomal RNA, 242 nt
Filed under: uncultured bacterium
Lineage: Bacteria
Description: partial 16S ribosomal RNA
Rfam family: Bacterial small subunit ribosomal RNA
Source: RNAcentral
GAUCAUGGCUCAGGACGAACGCUGGCGGCGCGCCUAACACAUGCAAGUCGAACGGAGUUGUGUUGAAAGCUUGCUGGAUAUACAACUUAGUGGCGGACGGGUGAGUAACACGUGAGUAACCUGCCUCUCAGAGUGGAAUAACGUUUGGAAACGAACGCUAAUACCGCAUAACGUGAGAAGAGGGCAUCCUCCUUUUACCAAAGAUUUAUCGCUGAGAGAUGGGCUCGCGGCCGAUUAGGUAG